This 303-nucleotide ribosomal RNA is filed under the name uncultured bacterium. Its description in RNAcentral is "partial 16S ribosomal RNA". It matches the Rfam family "Bacterial small subunit ribosomal RNA", at positions 507 to 807 of the family's 1533-position model. The record is from RNAcentral.
AGCAGUAGCCACGGGAACACGUAGGGUGCAAGCGUUAAUCGGAAUUACUGGGCGUAAAGCGUGCGCAGGCGGUUAUAUAAGACAGAUGUGAAAUCCCCGGGCUCAACCUGGGAACUGCAUUUGUGACUGUAUAGCUAGAGUACGGCAGAGGGGGAUGGAAUUCCGCGUGUAGCAGUGAAAUGCGUAGAUAUGCGGAGGAACACCGAUGGCGAAGGCAAUCCCCUGGGCCUGUACUGACGCUCAUGCACGAAAGCGUGGGGAGCAAACAGGAUUAGAUACCCGCGUAGUCCCUGUCUCUUAUAC